UGUAUACGUCAUGGAAAAUUUCCUGACUUAGUUCAAGAUGGCAUCUUAAAGUCUGAAUAGGUUAUCUGUUGUUUAUACUAAGUCGUAAGUGUACAGUCGUGGGAGAUUCCCGGAUUUGGGGAAGUUCCAUUAACUUGGGGUUACCAUAGUAUAUUGUGUACUGCAAGAGUCGUAGCAUAGCCUUGAAGCUUGUUUAUGCAUUAUUGUUAUUGUAAUUCGUCUGGGACAAAAUGGCGCAAACAUAUUGUGCACUGAGGUUAUUGCUUAAAGAAACAGUUAUGAAAAACAUUCCAUUUCUAACACCUUGUCAGUUUGCAAUAUCUCUUAAAGACAAAGUACACAGUUUAAGAAAUACAACAUUUCAUUCUAAAACUUGUAAUAUUUGCAUUUGCCCAUAACACCCUCUCCAUUAAACUGUGGGCAUUGUAGCGCAUUUCUUCCUUAAAUUAGUAAACCAAAGUUCUCCAACUGUCUUUAGGUUUUUUAUGCUCCCAGCAUCUUAGAUCAUUGUUGUAACAGUAAAAUAUCCGUAGUGUGAUCUUUGCCUGUAAAGGUGGUUGAUUAAAAUGAGCAAAGCU
Molecule: non-coding RNA, 578 nt
Organism: Pelobates cultripes (western spadefoot toad)
Lineage: Eukaryota; Metazoa; Chordata; Amphibia; Anura; Pelobatidae
Source: the annotation of a GenBank genome assembly